UCUUCAGUAUAGUUUCAAGCCAUGACAUCAUAAUAGAUAGGGCACCUGACCACUUCAAAGUGAAGGCUCUUCAAUUUCCAAAUCUCCACCUCUACCUAUUCAGGAUGAGGUAUGAUGAUGCUGAAGAGGAGUGAGGUCAUCUCUACUCGUCAGAAAAGCAGGCCCCGACUUCACCGCUAUCCCAUGAGAAGGUGGGCGUCACUGGGCAGGCAUCACAGGGAGAGACCACACUCUGCACCUUCCUCAACACCCUGGUAUCUGUUACUAAAGUCCUGAGAUGAUGGGGUCAUCAUCACCUGUUUCAUGGCUUUUGGUACAAACAAGGUGGGUCAGUGACGCCCACCUCUGUGCUCUCAACUUUCCUUUCUCCCAAGUGCAGAGGACACCCCUCCUGUUGGGCACGAUCCUACUAAAUGGGUUAAAGGUGGGGCGAUUCUGGAGACUGAAAGGCCUUCACUCUGAAGUGGUCAGGUGCCACAUCUAUUAUGAUGUCAUGGCUUGAAAUUAACUGAACAAAGGAGGUUUGGCCCACCUUGAAGUACUUCUAGCCAACAUUCCCUGUUUUCCAAUAAAGCACAGAUAUGCAAAUAA
Long non-coding RNA from Neofelis nebulosa (Clouded leopard), 591 nucleotides. RefSeq lists it as uncharacterized. The record is from RefSeq and is a predicted model, not a curated record. NCBI's taxonomy places the organism in Eukaryota, Metazoa, Chordata, Mammalia, Carnivora, Felidae. The transcript has 2 exons.